RNAcentral lists this ribosomal RNA (253 nucleotides) under uncultured bacterium. RNAcentral describes it as "partial 16S ribosomal RNA". It matches the Rfam family "Bacterial small subunit ribosomal RNA", at positions 524 to 776 of the family's 1533-position model. The record is from RNAcentral.
UACGGAGGUGGCAAGCGUUACUCGGAUUCACUGGGCGUAAAGGGCACGUAGGCUGUUCCAUAAGCCCUGCCUGAAAGGCUCUGGCUCAACCAGAGCAGUGGGCAGGGGACUGCGGAACUUGAGGAUCAGAGAGGCGAGCGGAAUUCCCGGUGUAAGGGUGAAAUCUGUAGAGAUCGGGAGGAACACCAGUGGCGAAAGCGGCUCGCUGGCUGAUUUCUGACGCUGAGGUGCGAAAGCUAGGGGAGCAAACAGG